UACGUAGGGGUGCAAGCGUUAAUCGGAAUUACUGGGCGUAAAGCGUGCGCAGGCGGCUUUGCAAGCACAGAUGUGAAAGUCCCCGGGGCUUAACCUGGGGACUGCAUUUGUGGACUGCAUGGGCUGGAGUGCGGCAGAGGGGGAUGGGAAUUCCGGCGUGUAGCAGUGAAAUGCGUAGAUAUGCGGGAGGAACACCGGAUGGCGAAGGCAAUCCCCCUGGGCCUGCACAUGACGCUCAUGCACGAAAGCGUGGGGGAGCAAACAGGA
RNAcentral lists this ribosomal RNA (267 nucleotides) under uncultured bacterium. Its description in RNAcentral is "partial 16S ribosomal RNA". It matches the Rfam family "Bacterial small subunit ribosomal RNA", at positions 524 to 777 of the family's 1533-position model. The record is from RNAcentral.